Apus apus (common swift) is the source of this 968-nucleotide long non-coding RNA. RefSeq lists it as uncharacterized. The transcript is spliced from 2 exons. The record is from RefSeq and is a predicted model, not a curated record. Lineage: Eukaryota; Metazoa; Chordata; Aves; Apodiformes; Apodidae.
CAAUGUGGGGGAGGCCAUCAGACAGCUGUGCUGACAAGUUCUGGUUAAACUGUUGUACCCAGAACCACAGAGUGACCUUGGGCAAAGCAAGAGCCUGACACAAUGAAAACACUUUUUCUUUUUCCAGCUGUCUGCCUUGGGCUCUUGGAUCUUGGUUUCCUUUUACAGUCCGGACUUCUGCGCCCCUCUGGAAGCAGUGUGAAUUUUCUACACCAGAGCCUGAGUCCAAGCAGAGUUUCUGCAGUAAACCUGUACCCUGGGAGCAUUUAAAAUGAUGUGUGCUCUGCAGGAUUUUCCGGUCUCCCAGGGGCCAGCUGCUUCAGCGUGAGACUCCAGAAGUCAUGGCAAGAGCUGAGAUUUGCUGUUUGCAAGUUCAGUCAUGUCUGACGGGAGCUGACCUGCUGGAGGAAGUUCCUUCCCGUUAGCGUCUGAGGGCGCCUUGGACACUGAAGACUUAAAAUUCAGCAUGAAAUGAGGCUGAGCUUGUUAAACACUGGAAAAUUGUUUCUGACAAGUGUUUGUGACAAUUUGUAAACAAACAAGAGAUCAUAGGGAUUAAGGGCCAUGUCUGUGUUUUUAAAGUAAAUGUAAAUAUCAGACUUGGAGAGAAUCAAAAUUCUGUUGCAAUCUGUUCUUCAGGCUGUUUGUGUCUACCAUUUCAUGAAGGCUUUCCCAUUUGGGGUAAUCAUCUUCUAUGCCUUCGUCCAGAGGCUUUUUAGGUUGUCAUUAUAUCUGUCCUCAGCACUGGCCAAGACUGAGAAAAUACAAAGACCAGAGAGGAGCAGAGGUUGGUGACCAAUAUAAAAGGAAAUCAUGUUGAGGAUGAGCGUGCUUAAACCCAUCACCAGAACUGAAAGUCCAUGAGAUCAGCAACAUUAAGAACAGAGAAACCAUGAACAGGAGUCAUCCAUUUGGACUCUCUCACUGUAAUAAGGAUGUUGAUAGAAAGAAAAUAAAUAAAUAAAUAA